This 237-nucleotide unclassified non-coding RNA is filed under the name plant metagenome. Its description in RNAcentral is "partial contains small subunit ribosomal RNA, internal transcribed spacer 1, and 5.8S ribosomal RNA". The record is from RNAcentral.
UCUCCGUUGGUGAACCAGCGGAGGGAUCAUUACCGAGUUUACAACUCCCAAACCCCAUGUGAACCUUACCAAACGCUGCUUCGGCGGGAUGCCCCGGGCGCGGGCCGCAAGGCCUCAGCCCCGGAACCAGGCGCCCGCCGGAGGCCCAAACCAAACUCUUGUUUUUGUAGAAUCUUCUGAGUGGCCUUUUAGGCAAAAAAUGAAUCAAAACUUUCAACAACGGAUCUCUUGGUUCUG